GACGAACGCUGGCGGCGUGCUUAACACAUGCAAGUCGAACGGAAAGGCCCUGCUUGCAGGGUACUCGAGUGGCGAACGGGUGAGUAACACGUGGGUGAUCUGCCCUGCACUUCGGGAUACGCCUGGUAAACUGGGUCUAAUACCGGAUAGGAGCCAUUUUUAGUGUGAUGGUUGGACAGUUUUUUCGGUGUAGGAUGAGCUCGCGGCCUAUCAGCUUGUUGGUGGGGUAAUGGCCUACCAAGGCGGCGACGGGUAGCCGGCCUGAGAGGGUGGACGGCCACACUGGGACUGAGAGACGGCCCAGACGCCGACGGGAGGAAGCAGGGGGGAAGAUUGCACAAGGGGCGCAAGCCGGAUGCAGCGACGCCGCGGGGGGGAUGACGGCCUUCGGGUUGGAAACGCCUUUCGCGAGGGACGAAGCUUUUUGUGACGGUACCUAGAGAAGAAGCACCGGCUAACUACGUG
This 465-nucleotide ribosomal RNA is filed under the name uncultured bacterium. RNAcentral describes it as "partial 16S ribosomal RNA". It matches the Rfam family "Bacterial small subunit ribosomal RNA", at positions 28 to 507 of the family's 1533-position model. The record is from RNAcentral.